CCUACGGGUGGCAGCAGUGAGGAAUAUUGGUCAAUGGGCGCGAGCCUGAACCAGCCAAGUAGCGUGAAGGAUGACUGCCCUACGGUUUGUAAACUUCUUUUAUAAAGGAAUAAAGUUAGGCACGUGUGCCUUUUUGUAUGUACUUUAUGAAUAAGGAUCGGCUAACUCCGUGCCAGCAGCAGCGGUAAUACGGAGUAGCCGGUCGUUAUCCGGAUUUAUUGGGUUUAAAGGGAGCGUAGAUGGGUUGUUAAGUCAGUUGGGAAAGUGUGCGGCUCAAACGUAAAAUUGCAAUUGAUACUGGCAGCCUUGAGUACAGUUGAGGUAGGCGGAAUUCGUGGUGUAGCGGUGAAAUGCUUAGAUAUCACGAAGAACUCCGAUUGCGAAGGCAGCCUACUAAACUGCCACUGACAUUGAUGCUCGAAAGUGUGGGUAUCAAACAGGAUUAGAUACCCGUGUAGUC
RNAcentral lists this ribosomal RNA (460 nucleotides) under uncultured bacterium. RNAcentral's name for it is "partial 16S ribosomal RNA". It matches the Rfam family "Bacterial small subunit ribosomal RNA", at positions 338 to 795 of the family's 1533-position model. The record is from RNAcentral.